GAUGAACGCUGGCGGCGUGCCUAAUACAUGCAAGUCGAGCGAACAGACGAGGAGCUUGCUCCUCUGACGUUAGCGGCGGACGGGUGAGUAACACGUGGAUAACCUACCUAUAAGACUGGGAUAACUUCGGGAAACCGGAGCUAAUACCGGAUAAUAUAUUGAACCGCAUGGUUCAAUAGUGAAAGACGGUUUUGCUGUCACUUAUAGAUGGAUCCGCGCCGCAUUAGCUGGUUGGUAAGGUAACGGCUUACCAAGGCAACGAUGCGUAGCCGACCUGAGAGGGUGAUCGGCCACACUGGAACUGAGACACGGUCCAGACUCCUACGGGAGGCAGCAGUAGGGAAUCUUCCGCAAAGGGCGAAAGCUUGACGGAGCAACGCCGCGUGAGUGAUGAAGGUCUUCGGAUCGUAAAACUCUGUUAUUAGGGAAGAACAAAUGUGUAAGUAACUAUGCACGUCUUGACGGUACCUAAUCAGAAAGCCACGGCUAACUACGUG
Molecule: ribosomal RNA, 497 nt
Filed under: uncultured bacterium
Lineage: Bacteria
Description: partial 16S ribosomal RNA
Rfam family: Bacterial small subunit ribosomal RNA
Source: RNAcentral